AUGAUUCCAAAUCAAAACCAAAACAUAUUCUUAAAACCAGAAACUUGUUCUAAAAAACUUAUUCUCAAGCUUCAUCGUCAACCAAAACAUAUUCUUAAAACCAGAAACUAUCUCUUAGUCAAUCCACUGAUCUUUGAAGCUUCAUCUUCCAUUCAUCUUAGACAUGCUCUCAUCUAGAAGCUUCUCCACAUGUCAAACACAUUGUGCCAAGGAAAUGCCAUUUCAAUCAGAAACAGAGGUUUAGAAGAGAGAGAUAUAUAAGCCAAAUGGUAAUCAAAAUUAAUAAGUACCAUUCUCACUGAUCGAGGACUAGGAUGAUUUAAAAGGCAACACAAGACAGUUCAAUCAUUCAAGUAUGCUCUCCGUUCAUCCUCUCCAGCAAACGCUGAUGACGUGCAGGUGAGAUUAAGAAGAAAUAGACAAAGAUUCUUUGUCGAUUCAUUACAACAAUUAAGAGGUCCAUCUUUAGAAAACACCACCGACCACCUUGAAAGAUCUUCUCAACAGCUGGCUCAGGAUAUGAAAUUGAGAAGGAA
This 536-nucleotide long non-coding RNA is filed under the name Arabidopsis lyrata. RNAcentral's name for it is "long non-coding RNA (ALYR_LNC002954)". The record is from RNAcentral. Lineage: Eukaryota; Viridiplantae; Streptophyta; Magnoliopsida; Brassicales; Brassicaceae.